UUGAUAGUCUAAAAGGAUGAUUGUGCCUAUUAUAUUUCAUCUAUCUGUUCUCUCACCAGGCUCAUCUUCCAGACUGAACCUUACUUUUGAUGAUUGCUACCUGCAGAAUUUUGACCAACUCAUUUAACUUUCUGGAUCCUAAAUCUUGGUCUCUUUCCUCAUCUGUAAAAUUGGAGACAAGACAUGGCCAAGGUCACAGUCCUGGGUCUUGAUCCCAGUGUAAGAAGGAACACUAGCACACACCAGUGCCUGGGAGGAUGGGACCCUGAUCAUAGUUCCAAGGAAGAAAAGAGUGGAUGCUCAUAGACCAAAAGCAGACCAAGAGAAUAUUAAACAUAUGUCCCCUUGCAUCAUACCAUAUUGAAACAAUCUUAUAGAUCCCCAGAGGAAAUUAUGCCUUAAAAUAAUAAUUGGACAAAUGGAAGCUAAUGACUCCAUGAGACAUCAAGAAACAAUCAAUCAGAGUCAAAAGAAUGAAAAAAAAAAUACAUGAAAGUACAAAAUACGUAAUUGACAAAACAAAUGACAUGGAAAAUAAGUCAGGAGAGAGAAUGUAAGAAUUGUUGGACUACCUUGGAAACCAUUUUCAAAAAAAAUGACUAGACAUCAUCUUUCAAGAAAUUAUCAAGGAAAACUUCCUUGACAUUCUAG
This 651-nucleotide long non-coding RNA is filed under the name Monodelphis domestica (gray short-tailed opossum). RNAcentral describes it as "lncRNA (ENSMODG00000045106.1)". Lineage: Eukaryota; Metazoa; Chordata; Mammalia; Didelphimorphia; Didelphidae. The record is from RNAcentral.